CAGUCGCCGCGGUAAUACGUAGGGUGCAAGCGUUAAUCGGGAUUACUGGGCGUAAAGCGUGCGCAGGCGGUUAUAUAAGACAGAUGUGAAAUCCCCGGGCUCAACCUGGGACCAGCAUUUGUGACUGUAUAGCUAGAGUACGGUAGAGGGGGAUGGAAUUCCGCGUGUAGCAGUGAAAUGCGUAGACAUGCGGAGGAGCACCGAUGGCGAAGGCAAUCCCCUGGACCUGUACUGACGCUCAUGCACGAAAGCGUGGGGAGCAAACAGGAUUAGAUACCCCCGUAGUCCCUGUCUCUUAUAC
RNAcentral lists this ribosomal RNA (301 nucleotides) under uncultured bacterium. RNAcentral's name for it is "partial 16S ribosomal RNA". It matches the Rfam family "Bacterial small subunit ribosomal RNA", at positions 509 to 807 of the family's 1533-position model. The record is from RNAcentral.